This 354-nucleotide ribosomal RNA is filed under the name uncultured bacterium. Its description in RNAcentral is "bacterial SSU rRNA". It matches the Rfam family "Bacterial small subunit ribosomal RNA", at positions 44 to 438 of the family's 1533-position model. The record is from RNAcentral.
AGGCCUAACACAUGCAAGUCGCACGGUCAGCAAUGGCAUGUGGCGGACGGGUGAGUAACACGUAUGAAUCUAUCCUGGGGUGGGGGACAACACCGUGAAACUGCUGCUAAUACCGCAUGAUACCUGAGGGUCAAAGGCGCAAGUCGCCUUGGGAGGAGCCUGCGGUCUGAUUAGCUUGUUGGAGGGGAAAAGGCCUACCAAGGCGACCACAUAGUGGCUGAGAGAUGAUCAGCCCUUUGGGACUGAGACACGGCCCAUACUCCUCCGGGAGGCUUAGUUUAAUAUUGGAAAUGGGGGUAAACCUGAUCCCUAAGCUACGUGUGUGAAAAAGCCUUCUAAUUGCAAGGACUUUUG